AUUGAACGCUGGCGGCAUGCCUUACACAUGCAAGUCGAACGGUAACAGGUCUUCGGAUGCUGACGAGUGGCGAACGGGUGAGUAAUACAUCGGAACGUGCCUAGUAGUGGGGGAUAACUACUCGAAAGAGUGGCUAAUACCGCAUGAGAUCUACGGAUGAAAGCAGGGGAUCGCAAGACCUUGUGCUACUAGAGCGGCCGAUGGCAGAGUGAGGUAGUUGGUGGGAUAAAAGCUUACCAAGCCGACGAUCUGUAGCUGGACUGAGAGGACGAUCAACCACACUGCGACGGAGACACGGCCCAGACUCCUACGGGAGGCGGCAGUGGGGAAUUGUGGACAAUGGGCGAAAGCCUGAUCCAGCAAUGCCGCGGGCAGGAUGAAGGCCUUCGGGUUGUAAACUGCUUUUGUACGGAACGAAAAGCCCCGGGUUAAUACCCUGGGGUCAUGACGGUACCGUAAGAAUAAGCACCGGCUAACUACGUGCCAGCCGCCGCCGUAA
RNAcentral lists this ribosomal RNA (499 nucleotides) under uncultured bacterium. RNAcentral's name for it is "partial 16S ribosomal RNA". It matches the Rfam family "Bacterial small subunit ribosomal RNA", at positions 30 to 523 of the family's 1533-position model. The record is from RNAcentral.